This 76-nucleotide transfer RNA is filed under the name Ilumatobacteraceae bacterium. Its description in RNAcentral is "tRNA-Arg". It matches the Rfam family "tRNA". From Rfam's summary of the family: Transfer RNA (tRNA) molecules are approximately 80 nucleotides in length. Their secondary structure includes four short double-helical elements and three loops (D, anti-codon, and T loops). RNAcentral also lists the same sequence under 3 other names. Lineage: Bacteria; Bacillati; Actinomycetota; Acidimicrobiia; Acidimicrobiales; Ilumatobacteraceae. The record is from RNAcentral.
GCCUCCGUAGCUCAGUGGAUAGAGCAACGGUUUCCUAAACCGCAGGUCGUAGGUUCGAUUCCUACCGGGGGCGCCA